CACACUUCAUGUAUUUUUGUUUUUAGCUGCCAUGGACUGUUAGUCCCUUCUAUAAAACAGCGUGUCCACUGUAUUUACAGUAUAAUCUCCCUGGAAAGGAGGCUCUAAGCUCUUUAAAAAUGUGUACGUUUUCUUCACUGCUGUAUUCUUAGCAUUAAACUGUGGAGCACACAGUGUAUUUCUGCAGCAAAUGCUUGCUGAAUCAUUCUUUUUACAAGACUAAAAGAAAACAAAACAAAAAAGCCCAACAAACAAACAACACACACACACACACAAAACCCCUUACAAUGACUCAGGUCAAUACACUAUAUUUACUCUGUAGGUGUGAGUGCGAGUCUUGAUCUACCCUGGGGGCACUGAUUUACAAAUGCUUGGGGAAUCAGGAAGUGGGAGUCACUAGUAAGGGAGUAAUUUAAGGUAAAUCCCAUUUUCAUCAAUCCAUUUUAUCUCCGGGAGAUAAAACUGAGAGGAAAGCUGAAAUUAUAAACCCAUUACAGUAAUUCAGGAGGAGGUAAUGAAAGUUUGGAUCCUUUGUUACACAUGAGGUUAAGCCAUAAUGGCUACUUGGAUAUAGGGGGACAGUAGGGAUCAGACUAAGUUUUAGGGCUCUACGAUUGUAACUAUAAUGCUACAGUAAGGGAAACGUAACAUCCCAAGAGUCUGUUACAAGUGGAGCAGGGAGGUAAACACCCUCCUCCUAGAUUAAUAUUUACCUUCCUAAUGAGCCUACAAGUAACCUAAAUACUUACGACAUAAAGUUCACUCUGGUGCAGAACAGUGCACUAGAGACCAAAGCAAUCCUCUGAGACCCUUGCUUAUAUUCCCGUUUACCAGUGUGCUGAGCUGGACUUUGAGCAGGGAGAUUCCCUUGUAAGGAAAAGGGCAGGAAGGCUGUCUCGUGGGUUAAAAGUUUCAAGUCAAUUGUGGACCAGAAGAUAAAGACCUACCAAGAUUCCGAAAGACUUCAAACGACUGCUUUCCACUUCACUGCAACACUUCAAAACUAGGCGGUUUUAGGUACCCAUCCUAAAGAUUCCCCAAGGAAAUAGUUCAAUCAACUUAGUUCAAACAGAACACUUUUCGAUCCAUUUCUUACACAAUUUCAAUUUUUAGUGCCAUACGUUACCUGGAAAGUUCUCUUGAUUGAGCUUAGGCCGACGGAUGAUCACAAAGUCUUUUUCGCUGCCUUUGCUCUUUAGCCGUUUCCUUGGGGGGCUCUGAGGGUGGCCGAGGUUUGAGAGCAGUUCAUGUGGAAUGUUCUCACUGUCCACCUCCUCUUUCUCCAAGGCAGAGACACCCAUGCCGGAGAGCAGUUCAGAAGUCUUGCUGGAAUCCCAUCCCCACGUGAAGCUGGUGGUGACGUUGCUACUCUGGUCCGGAAUCUCCUGAAGGUGCUUCCUGCAGAAGGGCAUACAUUCCCCAAUCCUUUUGAAAGCACACCCCUAGAUAAUUCCAAGCCUCCCGCUCCAGCGUGCGGCGCAGAGAGAUUCCCCCCACGGGGCCCCACAGCCGGACCCGCGAACUAGUAACGUUCCAUCACCACCGCGCGCGCGGAGUUCUGCAUCCCGCUCUCCGGCAGCCGCCUUCUGACGCCCCGUCGCCUGCUGGGAAUUGUAGUUCUGGGCGUGGCUCGCUGUCCGACUAGAUUCCCUCCUUCUUUUUGCCCAGCCCUCCAGAUACCCACAACCCCCCGCGGCGCAGGGCGGGACGGGGAUGGAAGGGGGGGUGGAGGACGGGCGAGCGGAAGUGGGCGGAGCUCAGACUGACUGGGAAAUGUCAGCCGAUUGACUGGGUGAGGGUUUUUCUUUUCCCCGCGCCCACAGGCCUUCGGGUGACCACCGCUGCGGUCGCCUCGGACUGUGGUUCUCCGACGCCGACAGACUGCGGCGGACGCGAAGCUUCUCAGUCCCUUCCGGGCGCUGUCUGGAGAGAUCCGACGUGAACAGAUACGGUCCAGAACUAUGCAUGAAUCACUGUAGUUGGCUAUUGUGAGCAUUUAAUAAUGAGUGGUGCAGCUUUAGGACUUGAGAUUGUUUUUGUCUUCUUUCUGGCAUUGUUCCUCCUUCAUCGCUAUGGAGACUUUAAGAAACAGCAUAGACUUGUAAUCAUUGGAACACUGCUGGCUUGGUAUCUCUGCUUCCUUAUUGUCUUCAUACUGCCGCUGGAUGUUAGUACGACAAUAUAUAACCGGUGCAGACAUGCUGCUGCAAAUUCCAGCCCUCCUGAAAAUAGCAAUGUUACGGGAGUGUAUGCAGCUGUCACCCCAGCUCCAAGGCAACAUCCAUGUUUCAAGCCAUGGAGUUACAUUCCAGAUGGAAUCAUGCCAAUUUUCUGGAGGGUAGUUUAUUGGACAUCACAGUUUUUAACGUGGAUUCUUCUACCUUUUAUGCAGUCAUAUGCAAGAUCUGGAGGCUUUUCCAUUACUGGAAAGAUAAAAACAGCCCUGAUUGAGAAUGCAAUCUAUUAUGGCACUUACUUGCUGAUAUUUGGAGCAUUUCUAAUUUAUGUGGCUGUAAACCCACGUUUGCAUUUAGAAUGGAACCAACUUCAGACUAUAGGGAUAGCUGCUGCCAACACAUGGGGUCUGUUUCUUCUUGUGUUGUUAUUGGGGUAUGGCUUGGUGGAGAUUCCUCGGUCAUACUGGAAUGGAGCCAAAAGGGGUUAUCUACUCAUGAAGACUUACUUUAAGGCAGCCAAACUGAUGACAGAGAAAGCAGAUGCAGAAGAGAACUUGGAGGAUGUAAUGGAGGAGGUUCGUAAAGUAAAUGAAAGCAUUAAGUACAACCACCCAUUGAGAAAAUGUGUUGAUACAAUACUUAAAAAGUGCCCUACAGAUUAUCAGGAAAAGAUGGGUAGAAAUAUGGAUGAUUAUGAAGAUUUUGAUGAAAAGCGUAAUACCUACCCAAGUGAAAAAAGUUUGGUAAAAUUGCAUAAACAGGUCAUUUAUUCAGUUCAAAGGCACCGUCGAACUCAAGUGCAAUGGCAAAUUCUUUUGGAACAGGCGUUCUAUCUAGAAGAUGUAGCAAAAAAUGAAACUAGUGCAACUCAUCAGUUUGUUCACACCUUUCAGUCACCCGAGCCAGAAAAUCGAUUUAUCCAAUAUUUUUAUAAUCCUACAGUUGAAUGGUACUGGGAAUGCCUAUUGCGUCCAUGGUUUCACAGGAUCCUUGCUGUGGUUUUGUCCAUCUUCUCGGUGAUUGUUGUGUGGUCAGAGUGCACCUUCUUUAGCACAACUCCUGUCUUAUCUCUCUUUGCAGUCUUCAUACAGCUGGCAGAAAAAACAUACAAUUAUAUUUAUAUUGAGAUUGCUUGCUUCCUUUCCAUCUUCUUCUUAAGUAUUUGUGUUUACUCUACGGUGUUCAGAAUUCGAGUGUUUAAUUACUACUACUUGGCUUCGCAUCAUCAGACCGAUGCUUACAGCCUUCUUUUCAGCGGCAUGUUAUUUUGCCGUUUGACUCCCCCUUUAUGUCUUAACUUCUUGGGAUUGACACACAUGGAUUCAUCCAUCUCUCACCAGAAUACCCAGCCAACUGCAUAUACUUCUAUCAUGGGUUCCAUGAAAGUUUUAUCCUUUAUUGCAGAUGGAUUCUAUAUAUAUUAUCCUAUGUUGGUGGUAAUUCUCUGCAUUGCUACGUAUUUUAGCUUGGGAACCCGUUGUUUGAAUCUGCUUGGUUUCCAGCAGUUCAUGGGAGAUAAUGAUAUGACAUCAGAUCUAGUUGAUGAAGGAAAAGAAUUAAUCAGACGAGAGAAAAGAAAAAGACAAAGGCAAGAGGAGGGUGAAAAUCGAAGAAGAGAAUGGAAAGAACGUUAUGGACACAACAGAGAAGAUUCCACUAGGAACAGAAAUGUUCAUCCUGACCCCAAAGAGUCGAAUUUCUCAGAUACUACUACCAAUUGGUCAUCCAAGUACACCAGGGCUAAUAACAGGACUGAACGAGACCGGAUAGAACUUCUCCAGGAUGCAGAACCUUUGGAUUUUAAUGCAGAGACAUUCACUGAUGAUUCUCUGGAACCUGAGUCAGGAAGGUAUCAGCCUGGUGGACGAUAUCUCUCCAUGUCUUCCAGCAUAAUAUUUGAAGAUAUCUAAAGUUUGAAGAAAUUCAUGGCUCAAGUAGCCAGGGUCAUCACAUCAGCUCAGCCUCUAUGAACAUGAUUGUGCCCUACAACUCCUCUGUACUGUCUGUGAAUAAGAAGAAUACUGCAAUUACGUCAAACUAUUUGAACACGUUGGGAUUUUAUGCAGUGAUCUGUCAGGUAAAAGGGAUAUCUUCGAUUCUUUAAGGCAUGAGAAGUUUGAUCUACUAUUUUUGGAUUCAACAGAUCUCUGUGUUUUCUUGUUUGCUGAGAAACUUGAGAAACGAUUUGCGGCCUUUCUUCCCAUGCUCUUUGGCUUUAUCGACUGUGGGCUACCAGGCCCUUGUCUUAUGUUCCAGUAUUUAGUUCCAGUCUAACUGAUCUGACGAACUUCCAGCAGCCACUGCAUGAACAGUACUUGCUGGAUAUCAUUCUGUUCCUGCUAGGUCACUUUAUGGCUUUGUGGGAAGAUUCUUGGUGCUAUGGCCAGGUAUCUGAGUAGAGCCAGGAAGAUGAAGAAGACACAACAUUAAGACAUGACUGUCCUGCCUAGCAGGGAAGGUGCUGUUGGUGAAAGUAUCUGGAAUCAUCACAGUUUUCCAACGACAGUACAGAUCUCCUGAUAUCUCAGCAGCUGAUGCCCACAUUUUUCUACUCAUUUACAGGAACCCAGUGUGCCACACUCAGUCAUCUUGACCUUCGUGUGACUCAGAACUCUCUGCUGAGAAACAUUACUUCCCGGAAACCCAGACUUCUAGAUCCCUUCUCCUAGAUACAGUCUUGAUAGUUUUACCUUUUUUCUGCAGAGAAAUCUUUUGUCUCAUUUAUUCUACUAGUUUCUGUAUUCUUCCCCUAAAUACUUGGGAGUCUUUUACUCCUAUAUUUUGCUUUUGUUAUGACCUCUCCUCAUAGCUCAGGAAACCUUUCUUCCCCUCUCCUUUUCAGGCAAGAAUAGCCCCCUCCUUUAAAAAAAGAGGGGACAGGGUCUUGAGAGAUGGCUCAGUGGUUAAGAGCAUUGCCUGCUCUUCCAAAGGUCCUGAGUUCAA
RNA transcript from Arvicola amphibius (Eurasian water vole), 5120 nucleotides. It is a transcript of the gene named LMBR1 domain containing 2, with no coding region annotated. The record is from RefSeq and is a predicted model, not a curated record. The transcript has 20 exons. NCBI's taxonomy places the organism in Eukaryota, Metazoa, Chordata, Mammalia, Rodentia, Cricetidae.